RNAcentral lists this ribosomal RNA (394 nucleotides) under uncultured eukaryote. Its description in RNAcentral is "SSU rRNA". It matches the Rfam family "Eukaryotic small subunit ribosomal RNA", at positions 587 to 972 of the family's 1831-position model. The record is from RNAcentral.
AGCUCCAAUAGCGUAUAUUAAAAUUGUUGCAGUUAAAAAGCUCGUAGUUGGAUUUCUGGUAUGGCGCACUUGACCCACCAUGGUUCACAUGGUUGCUGUGUCGGCGUGCGCCUUCCAUCCUUCGAGUGAAAUACUUCUACUCUUUACUGGGUUGGGAGUAUCUUAGCUCGAUCUUUUACUUUGAAAAAAUUAGAGUGUUUAAAGCAGGCUUGCGCUAUGAAUACAUUAGCAUGGAAUAAUAAUUUAGGACUUUGGUCUUAUUUUGUUGGUUUCUAGGACUAAAGUAAUGAUUGAUAGGGACAGUUGGGGGUGCUAGUAUUCAGCGGCCAGAGGUGAAAUUCUUGGAUUCGCUGAAGACUAACUUAUGCGAAAGCAUUCACCAAGGAUGUCUUCU